UACAGAGGAUGCAAGCGUUAUCCGGAAUGAUUGGGCGUAAAGCGUCUGUAGGUGGCUUUUUAAGUCCGCCGUCAAAUCCCAGGGCUCAACUCUGGACAGGCGGUGGAAACUACCAAGCUGGAGUACGGUAGGGGCAGAGGGAAUUUCCGGUGGUGCGGUGAAAUGCGUAGAGAUCGAAAAGAACACCAACGGCGAAAGCACUCUGCUAGGCCGACACUGACACUGAGAGACGAAAGCUAGGGGAGCGAAUGGG
RNAcentral lists this ribosomal RNA (253 nucleotides) under uncultured bacterium. RNAcentral describes it as "partial 16S ribosomal RNA". It matches the Rfam family "Bacterial small subunit ribosomal RNA", at positions 524 to 776 of the family's 1533-position model. The record is from RNAcentral.